This 58-nucleotide microRNA precursor is filed under the name Gallus gallus (chicken). RNAcentral's name for it is "Gga-Mir-124-P4-v2_pre stem-loop". It matches the Rfam family "mir-124 microRNA precursor family", at positions 9 to 66 of the family's 72-position model. From Rfam's summary of the family: The mature ~21nt miRNAs are processed from hairpin precursor sequences represented here, in this case originating from the 3' arm. Lineage: Eukaryota; Metazoa; Chordata; Aves; Galliformes; Phasianidae. The record is from RNAcentral.
UGUGUUCACUGCAGACCUUGAUUUAAUGUCACACGAUUAAGGCACGCAGUGAAUGCCA